RNAcentral lists this ribosomal RNA (1407 nucleotides) under metagenome. RNAcentral describes it as "bacterial LSU rRNA". It matches the Rfam family "Bacterial large subunit ribosomal RNA", at positions 1438 to 2925 of the family's 2925-position model. The record is from RNAcentral.
UCGUCACCACCAAAAGAGUUAAACACAGGGACACAUAUGAAGUCUCGGAGCCGGGUGUUGGUUCCGGUAGCGAUCGAGGGAAGUUAGUACCGAAGUCCGGGAUGGAAGAUGGCGAGAAAAGCUGUGUGGAUUUCUGCGGUGCCCGUACCGCAAACCGACACAGGUAGGUAGGAAGAAGAUUCUAAGGCCAACGGGAGAAGGGUUGUUAAGGAACUCGGCAAAUUGACCCCGUAACUUCGGGAGAAGGGGUGCUGCAGCAAUGCAGCCGCAGAGAAUCGGCCCAAGCAACUGUUUACCAAAAACACAGGUUUGUGCUAAAUCGAAAGAUGACGUAUACGAGCUGACGCCUGCCCGGUGCUGGAAGGUUAAGAGGAGAUGUGCAAGCAUUGAAUCGAAGCCCCAGUGAACGGCGGCCGUAACGAUAACGGUCCUAAGGUAGCGAAAUUCCUUGUCAGGUAAGUUCUGACCCGCAUGAAAGGCGUAAUGAUUUGGGCACUGUCUCAACAGCCCGCCCGGCGAAAUUGUAGUACCGGUGAAGAUGCCGGUUACCCGCGACAAGACGGAAAGACCCCAUGGAGCUUUACUGUAGCCUAAUAUUGGGUUUCGAUGUUGCAUGCACAGGAUAGAUGGGACACUGGGAAGUAGGUGCUUUGGCGCUUGUGGAGUGGCCGUUGGGAUACCAUCCUUGCGAUAUUGGAAUUCUAACCUGCGCCUUUGAAUCAAGGCGGGGGACAUUGUUAGGUGGGCAGUUUGACUGGGGCGGUCGCCUCCUAAAGAGUAACGGAGGCGUUCAAAGGUUCGCUCAGCUUGAACGGAAAUCAAGCAAAAGAGUGCAAACGCAGAAGCGAGCCUAACUGCGAGACUGACGGGUCGAGCAGUAACGAAAGUUGGAGUUAGUGAUCCGGUGGUAUGUGAGUGGAAAUGCCAUCGCUCAACGGAUAAAAGUUACCCUGGGGAUAACAGGCUGAUCUCCCCCAAGAGUCCACAUCGACGGGGAGGUUUGGCACCUCGAUGUCGGCUCAUCGCAUCCUGGGGCUGUAUUCGGUCCCAAGGGUUUGGCUGUUCGCCAAUUAAAGCGGUACGCGAGCUGGGUUCAGAACGUCGUGAGACAGUUCGGUCCCUAUCUGUCGUGGGCGCAGGAUAUUUGAUGGGAGCUGUUCCUAGUACGAGAGGACCGGAGCGGACGUACCUCUGGCGCACCAGUUGUUCUGCCAAGAGCAUAGCUGGGCAACUAUGUACGGAUCGGAUAAACGCUGAAAGCAUCUAAGCGUGAAGCCGACCCAAAGAUAAGAUAUCCCAUUGUUUCAAACAAGUAAGACCCCUUGAAGACUACAAGGUUGAUAGGCACGAUGUGUAAGUGGAGUGAUCCAUUCAGCAAGUGUGUACUAAUAGGUCGAGGGCUUGAUC